Molecule: ribosomal RNA, 429 nt
Filed under: uncultured bacterium
Lineage: Bacteria
Description: bacterial SSU rRNA
Rfam family: Bacterial small subunit ribosomal RNA
Source: RNAcentral
UGGGGAAUAUUGGGCAAUGGGCGCAAGCCUGACCCAGCCAUGCCGCGUGAGUGAUGAAGGCCUUCGGGUCGUAAAGCUCUGUGGGGAGGGACGAAACCACCAGUCGCUAAUACCGACGGGUCUUGACGGUACCUCCUUAGCAAGCACCGGCUAACUCCGUGCCAGCAGCCGCGGUAAUACGGAGGGUGCAAACGUUGCUCGGAAUCAUUGGGCGUAAAGCGCACGUAGGCGGCCCGCUAAGUCGGAUGUGAAAUCCCUCGGCUCAACCGAGGACGUGCAUUCGAUACUGGCAGGCUUGAGUAUGGAAGAGGGUCGCGGAAUUCCCGGUGUAGAGGUGAAAUUCGUAGAUAUCGGGAGGAACACCAGUGGCGAAGGCGGCGACCUGGGCCAAUACUGACGCUGAGGUGCGAAAGCGUGGGGAGCAAACAG